RNAcentral lists this unclassified non-coding RNA (558 nucleotides) under Hevea brasiliensis (rubber tree). The record is from RNAcentral. Lineage: Eukaryota; Viridiplantae; Streptophyta; Magnoliopsida; Malpighiales; Euphorbiaceae.
GUUGGACUAAAGGAAGAUCAAAGCAAGACAUGAAUUGUUUUUUUUUUCCUUUUUCUUUACGUUUUGAGGUUGUUUUAGGGUUUUGAUAUGGCUACUGCAGAAGCUUUAUAUUUGAUUCCUGCUGCUGUUCUGCGUAAUCUAUCUGAUAAGUUGUACGAGAAGCGGAAAAAUGCCGCACUUGAGUUGGAAGGGAUAGUGAAGCAAUUGGCAGUAGCUGGUGAUCAUGACAAGAUCACUGCAGUCAUCAAUUUGUUGACCAACGAGUAUACAUAUUCCCCGCAGGCUAAUCACCGCAAAGGAGGGUUGAUAGGAUUGGCUGCUGUAACUGUUGGUUUGACUUCAGAAGCAGCUCAACAUCUUGAGCAAAUUGUGCCGCCAGUCUUAAAUUCUUUCUCAGAUCAAGAUAGCAGAGUGCGUUAUUAUGCAUGUGAAGCUCUGUAUAAUAUAGCAAAGGUCGUAAGAGGAGAUUUCAUUGUGUUCUUCAACCAGAUCUUUGAUGCAUUAUGUAAGCUUUCAGCAGACUCAGAUGCUAAUGUGCAAAGUGCUGCUCAUCUUUUA